CGAGGACCGAGCACUGUUUCAGGUCUUUUAGGGGAAACAUUGGGAGACGGGGUGCAGGGCUUAUACCGCUGCCCCAUCCCGACCUUCCCCUCUCGGAGCUGGGAGUUCUGGCAUUAGCAGGCUGAGGGGAAGGGGAGGGAGGGAAGGAGCCAAGGGAAGGGGGACCGUGAUGGACAAGGAGAAGCGAGGCCGGGGGAAGGAGAGAAGGAGGCGGGGCGGGGCUGCAGGAGAAGGGGUGAAGCGGGUUAGGGGCAGCGGAAGGUAGGGCAGGACUAGGGGCCCCGGCGGGAAGAGCGGGCUGGGGGCGGGGCCCCAGGUGAGGCUGGAGUGGGCGGCUCCGGGCCCGUUUCCCCGCCCCCUCCUCUUGCUCUUCACCUUCCUCCUCCUUCCCCUCCUUUUCCCCUCCUCCCUCGGCUGCCGCCAGCCGGGCUCGGCCCGGCCCCACCUCCCAGCUCAGUCCCAAGAGGGCUGAGUUGCGGUGGCGGCGCGGCGGCGGGCGGCCUUGUCUGGGGCUCUUGGAUUAGCUUCAACCUCCCUUAUUCUCCUCCUCCCCAUUCUCUCCUUCUCCCAGCCCCCAGCUCCAUCUUCCCUGGGCUGCAGCCUCCGGGCACCUGUGGAGGAAGCCGCCGUCUCCGCCUCCCCGCCGGCUGUGAGAGGACAACUUGAAGUUUCCCUGAAUUGUUCUUGCCUCAUUGAGUGAGAAGAUGAGACCAAAAGGGAGAACCUAGGUGUACUGAACAUUUUUUUAAAAAUCCCAGAAGGUAAGUAGGUAGACUUUGUUUGCAUGGGCUGUGAUUUGUAGGAGGGUUUCAUUUUCUAGAGC
Molecule: long non-coding RNA, 823 nt
Filed under: Monodelphis domestica (gray short-tailed opossum)
Lineage: Eukaryota; Metazoa; Chordata; Mammalia; Didelphimorphia; Didelphidae
Description: lncRNA (ENSMODG00000043443.1)
Source: RNAcentral